RNAcentral lists this ribosomal RNA (487 nucleotides) under uncultured bacterium. Its description in RNAcentral is "partial 16S ribosomal RNA". It matches the Rfam family "Bacterial small subunit ribosomal RNA", at positions 28 to 506 of the family's 1533-position model. The record is from RNAcentral.
GACGAACGCUGGCGGCGUGCUUAACACAUGCAAGUCGAACGGAAAGGCCCUGCUUUUGUGGGGUGCUCGAGUGGCGAACGGGUGAGUAACACGUGAGUAACCUGCCCUUGACUUUGGGAUAACUUCAGGAAACUGGGGCUAAUACCGGAUAGGAGCUCCUGCUGCAUGGUGGGGGUUGGAAAGUUUCGGCGGUUGGGGAUGGACUCGCGGCUUAUCAGCUUGUUGGUGGGGUAGUGGCUUACCAAGGCGUUGACGGGUAGCUGGCCUGAGAGGGUGACCGGCCCAACGGGACCUGAGAGACGGUCCAGACGCAUAUGGGAGGCAGGAGUGGGGAAUAUUGGACAAUGGGCGCGAGCCUGAUCCAGCCAUACCGGGUGGGUGAAGAAGGCCUGCGGGUUGGAAAGAGCUGUUGUUGGGAAAGAAAAGCAGCAGGUUAAAACCCCGCUGUUGUGACGGUACCAAAAGAAUAAGGAGCGGCUAACUUCGU